RNAcentral lists this ribosomal RNA (468 nucleotides) under uncultured bacterium. RNAcentral describes it as "partial 16S ribosomal RNA". It matches the Rfam family "Bacterial small subunit ribosomal RNA", at positions 28 to 507 of the family's 1533-position model. The record is from RNAcentral.
GACGAACGCUGGCGGCGUGCUUAAUACAUGCAAGUCGAACGGAAAGGCCCUGCUUUUGUGGGGUGCUCGAGUGGCGAACGGGUGAGUAACACGUGAGUAACCUGCCCUUGACUUUGGGAUAACUUCAGGAAACUGGGGCUAAUACCGGAUAGGAGCUCCUGCUGCAUGGUGGGGGUUGGAAAGUUUCGGCGGUUGGGGAUGGACUCGCGGCUUAUCAGCUUGUUGGUGGGGUAGUGGCUUACCAAGGCUUUGACGGGUAGCCGGCCUGAGAGGUUGACCGGCCACAUUGGGACUGAGGUACGGCCCGGACUCCUACGGGAGGCAGCAGUGGGGAAUAUUGCAAAAUGGGCGGAAGCCUGAUGAAGCAACGCCGCGUGCGGGAUGACGGCCUUCGGGUUGUAAACCGCUUUCGCCUGUGACGAAGCGUGAGUGACGGUAAUGGGUAAAGAAGCACCGGCUAACUACGUG